Molecule: ribosomal RNA, 696 nt
Filed under: Triticum aestivum (bread wheat)
Lineage: Eukaryota; Viridiplantae; Streptophyta; Magnoliopsida; Poales; Poaceae
Description: partial small subunit ribosomal RNA
Source: RNAcentral
AUGGUUCGACCGCAACCCCACCCUCGAUCGCAUCCCGUUGCUAACACGGCCCAUGAACCAGAUACAUCGCCACCAACUCAGCCCACGAUCAGAUACAUCUCCACCAACUCAGCCCACGAUCACGCACCGGCCAAAGAAAAACAACAGUUACGACUCAAUCCACGAUCACGCACCGGCCAAAGAAAAACAACAGUACCACGAUCACGCACCGGCCAAAGAAAAACAACAGUACUCCAUGCAUUGACCAAAAAAACAAACCAAAAAAAAGACACGUCCCAGCCAAACCAAACAAAGAAACAAGUGCGGAAGCUCCAUCGAGCCGUCAUCGCACGUCACCAGGAACGCCAGUUUUUCCUCUCCCUGGACCCAUACUCGCCCUCCGGCCACAUCCGCCGGAACGGAACCAGUCCGGCCACGCCGGAACCAGCAACCUCUGCUCCCGUCUCAUGGUGUUGCUCACCAAGGCCGUCUGUUCCUGCACCCAUCUCCUCUCAUGGUGUUGCUCACCAAGGCCGUCUGUCCCUGCACCCAUCUCCUCACGCCGCAGGUACAUCCUCCUGCCACCAUCCUCACCUGAGGCCGUCGGAACCAGCCACCUCCGCGCGCCGGCUGUUCCUGCACCCAUCUCCUCACGCCGCAGGUACAUCCUCCUGCCACCAUCCUCACCUGUUGCCUACAAAUAAAAUGCAUUCAUGA